RNAcentral lists this ribosomal RNA (441 nucleotides) under uncultured bacterium. RNAcentral describes it as "partial 16S ribosomal RNA". It matches the Rfam family "Bacterial small subunit ribosomal RNA", at positions 338 to 795 of the family's 1533-position model. The record is from RNAcentral.
CCUACGGGUGGCAGCAGUGGGGAAUAUUGCACAAUGGGGGAAACCCUGAUGCAGCGACGCCGCGUGAGUGAAGAAGUAUUUCGGUAUGUAAAGCUCUAUCAGCAGGAACGAGACAAGACGGUACCUGACUAAGAAGCACCGGCUAACUACGUGCCAGCAGCCGCGGUAAUACGUAGGGGGCAAGCGUUAUCCGGAAUCACUGGGGGUAAGGGGAGCGUAGACGGGUGUGCAAGCCUGAAGUGAAAGGUUGGGGCUCAACCCCUGGACUGCUUUGGGAACUGUACGGCUGGAGUGCAGGAGAGGUAAGCGGAAUUCGUGGUGUAGCGGUGAAAUGCGUAGAUAUUAGGAGGAACACCAGUGGCGAAGGCGGCUUACUGGACUGUAACUGACGUUGAGGCUCGAAAGCGUGGGGAGCAAACAGGAUUAGAUACCCGAGUAGUC